Neopsephotus bourkii (Bourke's parrot) is the source of this 1560-nucleotide long non-coding RNA. RefSeq lists it as uncharacterized. Lineage: Eukaryota; Metazoa; Chordata; Aves; Psittaciformes; Psittacidae. The record is from RefSeq and is a predicted model, not a curated record. The transcript has 2 exons.
UCAGAGGCUGCUAAGAGAUGCAGGAGAAUGCAGGAGGGACAUACAAAGAAAAGGAGCCACAGACAGAGUUAAGUGUGGUACAUGUUAGACAAGAAACUGGCUACGGAAAGAACUUUGUGAUCUGGAGCUGAAGUCACAUGCAGGAAAAUAACAGGAGAUCCCAAAUUUCUUCAGAGUAAAAUUGUGAUACCAGCUAGGCCUAUGGUCAUCUUACAUCAAUCUCAGUAGUAAAAUACUUAGUAUUUGGAAUCAUAUGCAUUAUCUACCACAUCUUUCUAAAAGAGUGCUACAAAUCCACAGAACAGAGGGUAAUAUGGAAAGGUGCCCUUCAAAAAAAAAAAAAAACCAGGCCUAGAGCAGCUCAAUCCUGAAGUCUCAUUUCUGCCUGAAUAAAAUUCUAAGUUCAUGGAACUCAGAAAACAUAAAAGAAAUAUAAAGGCUUGUUCUAUAUGUGAUAUGGAAAUAACAGAAUGUGGAGGAGUUUAAAUAUGUGAAGAAAUGUAUACAUAUAUAUAUAAAAAGUAAGAAAUUAUAAUAUGGCACACAUUACUGACCUGAAUUAAUGAAGAGAAUGAAAAUGUCACCAGAAAGGCAUACAAGAAAAGAACAAGCUGACUAUGCUAAAGCACUUCUGGAGCUGAGCCAUCUAACAAACACGGGAAACAUUCUGGGAGAGAAAACGCUCUACCAAGCAUACUGAGACAAAGGGCCUGUUUAUAAGAUGGGGAUUUUUCACAGUAUUUUAAGUUUCACUAGACAAUAGAUGGGUGCUUUCCUGAAUGAGGAUGCCUUCCGUCUUUUCUAUCACUCCACCAUCUUUUCCUCAUGACUAAACUGAGGUGAUAAGAUGAAACACAUCAAACAGAGGCUUGUUCAUCAUCUCUUUUGUUUAAACGUGGGUAUGUCACGCAUGCCAGUUUUUCCAAGAUUAAAAUUAAGAUAUUAAAAAAGACAAAUGCAAAGACAAGCCAAGAGCAAGGACUCCAAAUAUAUAUACAUAUGCAUCUAUAUAAAAAAAAUAUAAUAUAUUAAAAUAUAUAUAUGCUACAUUUGUUCUGAAGCAGACUAGGGAGAAGGCCAUUUAGAAUCAACAUGAACACAUUCCUACAAACCACUGUAGCCAUCGUUAAACGUUUACUUGGUUUUGCCUGUGUGCAGUGUUACUCAAUUGGCCAUUUCCAUUUCAUUUAAUAACAUAAAUGUGAUGAAAUGCUACAGAACACAGUGUUGUCAGUUCAUAACAGAUUUUAGUCAUAUAUGUAUUGCCCAGGUUAGAAAAACCUGUAAAUGUAAGAAUCUUAAAUGAAAAAAGAAAUGACUGUAGUAUAUGAAUCCCACAGGCUGAAGAACCAGAAGGAAAUAAAACUUACAAGUCUCACUGUUUUGGGAGGCUGCUGGGAGCCAAGACCGGACUAAGUAGACUGAGGAACAGAGGUUUCCCUACAGCAGAGUCAACAGCUUCAAAACCAAACCACGUUAACAUUUUAUCAAAGUGAUCUAACAUUAAAAUGGAAGACUUAAAAUAAUUUUCUUAGACUAGAGUAAAACAAAUGUAAGUAA